Molecule: non-coding RNA, 3896 nt
Organism: Elaeis guineensis (African oil palm)
Lineage: Eukaryota; Viridiplantae; Streptophyta; Magnoliopsida; Arecales; Arecaceae
Source: RefSeq, a predicted model, not a curated record
UUAAGCUAUGUUAAUUUAAAUGUUCACAUCUUCCCUUUGAAAAAUCUUGUUCAUACAUGAUGAUUGAGAAAUGGGAGAUAUCAUUGAUGCUUGCAACUUCGUCAAUUGAUCAGCAGGUUGCAUUUGUUUAAAAUGUUCUUUUAAAAAGUUUUAGAAACUUAAAUUAGCAUCCUAGAUAUGUGAUAGGUGUUGUGGUAUAGGUGGGGGCAUCUUUAUUCCCACAUCGGUCAUGAGUCAAGAGGGAAUAUGACUUAUAUGGAUUGGAAUCUUCUUUCCCACGUGAGAUGCCUUUUAAAGGACAAAAUCGUGAGGUCCCUUGCGACAGCACCAGAGGCCAAAGCGGACAAUAUCUCACAUAUGCGAGCGCGGAGGCAUAAGCCAACCAUCCGAGCUAUCCGACCCCUUGAUCCAUGACCGCAACAUUGGUGUCAUCUAUAGGAAUGCCUCCUGUCCCCACAUACAUACUCUCUCUUGACUGGAGGGGUUAUGUUGUGGUAUAGAUGGGGGCAUCUUUAGUCCCACAUCAGCUAUGAGUCAAGAGGGAGUUGGCUUAUAUGGAUUGAAACUUUCUCUCCCACGUGAGGCCAAAAUUGUUAAAGGCGCAAGGCGCAAAGGGUGCCAGGAGCCGAGGCGCAAGGGGUGCCAGGUGCCUAGGCGCAAGCGUUUGAGCAAAGCGAGGUGCACAUUUAUUAAAAAUAAGAUGAAAUAUGCAUAAUAUAAAAAUUAUAUAUUUUCAAAUUACAAUCAAAAUAUCAUUAAUAUUAAAAAUGCAAACUCAUUAAAGUUUCAACACAAAACACAUAGCAUACGAACAUUUAAGCAAAAUAUUGUUCAUAAUAAGCACACAAUAACAAAAUAAAAAUUACACUGACACAAGUAUAUAACUAAGUAGUCUAAAAUUUCAGUUAAAAGUUCUAGCUAAUCUUGUAAUAAAUAAGCAAUAGAUGUAAUCUCCUAGUAGUCCUCAUCAUCAUCAUCAAUAAUAAGAUCUUCUUCUUCAUCAGAUUUGUGAUCUCCUAUGUCUUGCUCUUCUUCUGAGUCCUCUAAAUCCUCAUCUGCAAGUUCUAAUCUUGAUGCUCUAGGCCUUAAGAAUAAAGCCCCCCCUCUUGAUGAAGAAGCAUUCGCACUAAUUUUUAUGCGAUAGGUAGGCUCAUCAACUCCAGCAACCCUAGCAACAGCAUCCCAAGUGAAAUUAUCAUCAUCAUACACUAACUCAACAUCAUCAUCAGAACUCUCAUCCAUUCUUCUCAUCAACCACUCAUUACUAUCAUCAAUGUCCUUCAAAGAAACAGGGUCAACGGUAUCGUGCCUAUUAUAUCGACGCCUCAAGGCUCUAUUGUAUUUCACAAAUAUCAAAUCAUGCAAGCGUUGUUGAGCAAGCCUAUUCCUCUUUUUGCUAUGAAGUUGCAAGAAUAAAAAUAUAAAAUAAUAAAUAAAAUUAUUUGAUAAUAUAACUACAUCCAAUCUAGAACGUCUUAAAACCAUCACACAUAAUAAUAAUAGAGUUACUUAGUGCUUAUAUGUGAAAACGCACUUUAAUUUCUUUCACAACUGCUAGCACUACAAGUGAGGCUAAAAACUCUCAUUGCAAACUUUUGCAAGUUUGGAGUUGAAGAUCCAUAUGCAACCUACCACUCAGCUGUUGAUUAAACAAGUGUCAAAGUGCUUUUAAAUUACAAAUAUAAACAAGCGUACAACUAAAUCUAUAAAGCAAAAUAAACUAAUUUAUUUUUCUGGUGAUUUUGUCUUUCUUUGCCUAACUGCCAUGGGUAUUCCAAAAAGGCCUUGAGCAUUUCUAUACUUGUUCAGCUCAUUUGUAAUCUUAUCUUGCAUUUCAAUAUUUGGAACUAGCCUUCGUAUACACUUGUAUAGGCCAUCCAUCACCUCUUCAUUUUGCUCAAUAUUGGAGUUUUUAUAAAAGAACUCAGGGAUUAGAUAAUGGCCAGUUGCGUGCAAAGGACGAUGUAGUUGACAUUUCCACCAAGCAUCAAUAAUUUUAAAGAUCUUGUAUCUCUCUUUUCUACCACUGAAAGACUUGGUAAUAGUUUUUUUUGCCUUAUCCAUAGCCUCAUAGAUAUAUCUCAAAGAAAGUUUUUUCUCCCCAUCCACCAAUCGAAGGACACGAACAAAAGGGCUAGACAACUUAAGGAUGUAAACAAUGUAGUUCAAAAUAUAGGCAUCAAAACAGUACUAACUGCUCUCUUGGCAGUUGACUCUUUUACCCAAGGUUUGGAGUUUCACUCUUCAGAAUUGAACAUCUUUCUCAAGUUGUUCUUCUGAUUAUAUAUUGAUUGAAGAGUGAUGAAGGUAGUUACAAAUCUAGUUUUAGCUGGCCUAAGCAGCUCUCUUUGUCCUGUGAAACUCCUCAUCAAGUUCACAAUGCUAGUUUUGCUAUAGAUGUACCCAUUCAAAAAAAUUGCCUUCUUCAAUGUUUUUUUAAUUGCUGAAAUUUCAGCAAUAUCCUCCAACAUCAAGUCAAUACAAUGGGCAGCACAUGGUGAUCAAUAUAAAUUUGGCUUCUUUGCCUCUAACAAUCUCUCUGUUCAAAAUUCAGAAAUUUGAAUAUUAAAUUACAAUUAUACUAAUUAAUUUCUUAAAAUGUAAAGAUGGAGAAGUUUAUUCAAAUUGAAUUUUACCUGCAGCUACAUAAUUAGAGACAUUGUCGGUCAUCACUUGAAUGAUAUUUGCUUUUUCAAUUUACUCUACCAUGUCAUCAAGCAAUUUGAAUAAGAAAUUUUCACUCUUCUAUGAGAAGCAUCAACAGAUUUUAUGAAUACUGAUCUUUUAGGAGAGUUCACUAAAAAGUUGAUUAUGUCCUUUGCAAUCUCAUUCUUCCAAUCGUCUGACAUAAUCAAGCAUCCAUACCCUUGCCCACUUUUCUUGGUGGCUCUUCAUCAAAUCUCUAGUAUACUCAACUUCUUUUUUUAACAAAGGGAUUCUAAUCUCAUGAUAACUUGAAGGUUUCACGCCAGGAUCAAAUUGUCCAAUUGCUUCAAUUGCAAUAGCAAAGCUUGGAUAAUUCACGUCAUUAAAUGGAAUGCCGGCAUCAUACCCACCUAGCCAACUCUCUAUAAGUCUUGUCUCUUAAUUCUUUUCUGCAAACUUCAUUGAUAGCAGAUUGCUUUUCUUUGCCUUCUUUUCUACUAUGAACAAUCAUUUCUGCAUCAAGAGUAAAAUACAAAUCUAUAAGAUCCUUUUCUUUUGGUUUCUUUGAGCUAGGUGCCUUGCUGCUGGCCGUAGAACUUCCACUUGUACCAUCACUUUUACUACAAGGAUCAACCAUCUGAAUUUCAUCUUUUUCAUCAACACCAUAGUCUUUCAUAUUAUCAAAAUCAGACAACAAAUUAUCUUGUUUCUUUUCCUCCUCUUUUCUUAACAUAUAAGUUUUAAUCUCUUCACAAAUAUGUGGUGGACAUUUUUGGCAACCUCUGGCAUUUCGAAACCCUCAACUAUAUGCUGUUUUGCCCGACAAAUCCCUCCUUUAGUCAUUUUUCCACAAAAAUUAUAAAUAAUAUCAUUUUUAUUUUUGCCCGUUGGGUUAGUCAAAUGUGCAUACUUUUACGUUGGAUCUUUUUUAGAUGACCCAUGGCUUUUGGAAUCCAUUUUAACCUCCUAAAAUAGAUGCCAAACAAUGAUAACGAAAUCAGCCCCCAAAAAAAAAAUUUAUUACAUACACUGUGGGUUGGUUAUGUGAUUCAAAAAAAAGGUCCAAAAAAAAAAGAAAAGAAAAGGGAGAAUGUAACCCAAAAAAAAGUAUUGCUGUGUUACAAAAUCGGAAAAAAAAGCCCAAAAAAGUUACUGUAGAUGACAAAAAAAGAAGGGACUUAGCCAACAAAAAAAAAGAAAAUGAUGAACAGUGCAAAAAAGGUUACUGUAGAUGACCCAAAAAAAGGAAC